UACGUAGGUGGCAAGCGUUGUCCGGAAUUAUUGGGCGUAAAGCGCGCGCAGGCGGUUCUAUAAGUCUGAUGUGAAAGCCCCCGGCUCAACCGGGGAGGGUCAUUGGAAACUGUAGGACUUGAGUACUGGAGAGAAGAGUGGAAUUCCACGUGUAGCGGUGAAAUGCGUAGAGAUGUGGAGGAACACCAGUGGCGAAGGCGACUCUUUGGCCAGAAACUGACGCUGAGGCGCGAAAGCGUGGGGAGCAAACAGG
This 253-nucleotide ribosomal RNA is filed under the name uncultured bacterium. RNAcentral's name for it is "partial 16S ribosomal RNA". It matches the Rfam family "Bacterial small subunit ribosomal RNA", at positions 524 to 776 of the family's 1533-position model. The record is from RNAcentral.